RNAcentral lists this non-coding RNA (21 nucleotides) under Caenorhabditis elegans. Lineage: Eukaryota; Metazoa; Nematoda; Chromadorea; Rhabditida; Rhabditidae. The record is from RNAcentral.
UUCAAGCUCCAAAUUCAUUUC